This is a long non-coding RNA of Haemorhous mexicanus (house finch), 13082 nucleotides long. RefSeq lists it as uncharacterized. NCBI's taxonomy places the organism in Eukaryota, Metazoa, Chordata, Aves, Passeriformes, Fringillidae. The transcript has 3 exons. The record is from RefSeq and is a predicted model, not a curated record.
UUCUGUAUUUCAUGCAGUAGGUUUGACCUCUCAGCUAAAAAAGAAAAGGUCUGUGAGACCUCCAUUCAUAUUCCACUGAACCUUAGAGCUCAACAAACAGGAAAAAUAAAGACUUAAUGCAUUAGGCCUGCAUGACAGACUCUCUCUAUGCAUUACAUCUCUUUUAACCAGAUGUGAACUGUAUUAUAGCCAGAAUAAAGGCUGUGUGUGCUAGAGGCUAAGCUCUUGAAUCAGGAAGCCAUUUUAUAUUAUUCUUCAGACUCUUAUACUGUACAAACCUGCUGCAAUUCAAGUGUCAGUAGACUAGCUGAUGCUGACAAAAGUAAAUAUUGCAAAAGUCCUGUUUACAAAGAGAAUAAUAAACUGAUAUGUCUAAGCACAUUAUUUCCAUUAGAAGACUUCCAGUGUUGCAUCAGUGCAUUUCACUAGAUAACUGAAAUUAAUAUUAUUGGGUUUUGUUGGUGCAGACAUUGUUACUGUGAUUUCAUGUCUACACAUAACACGUUUAGUACAUGUUGAAAUGGUUUUAAUAUUUUGACUCUCAAUAAGUAAAAAUAACAUUUUUACCCUUUUUUUAAAAUUUCUGUUCAUGCUUUACUGAAUGUUAUGUACAUAAAUGUUAAUUGUGGUAAAGAUUCAAACUCAGUUUUUAAAAAGCAAUUAAAGCAGCGUGCCUAGGAAAAAAAUUUCAAAAUGUGUCAAGGGGAGAAUGGAUCUAGAUGCAAGUCUUCCAUGUCUCAAAUGACAUUUAAUGAUAGGAUGAAACUAAAGAAACACCACUUGGUCUCCUGGUUUUGUUUUAUGAGCAAUGGCUCUUGGAGACCCUGAAUUUCAGAAGCAGGCUCAAGACCACAAUUUGCAUGCAGACACACCCCCCAGUGUGGUCCAUUUUUGGCUUCCAGGAAUGUGUUUUUUGUGUAGGCACACAGUUUGUGGUCAUUGGGAGUGGGGCUGGGCCCAGCCUCAUCCCCAUGGGCACAGCUGUGAGCAGCUGUGACAGCAAUGAGCCAUGGAGUGCCCAGGGGCACUGACCAACCCCCAAAGGGAACAGAGGGCACACAGGAGCAGUGCAUGAACAUCAGGGGUAUAAAAGGCUGGGCUGAAGAGCAAGAAGGGCAGAUGCUUGCAGCCUUCUGAAGUGAUGUUAUACUCUGUAUGGGCAGAUGCCUGAAGCCUUCUGAAGUGGUAAGGUGUGUUACUCUGUAUGAGUUGAAGCUUCCUGAGAUUGUAUGAUGAUACUCUGUGCGGUCUCUGUGGUUGUCUCAACUGUGACAUGUGCUGCAACAUUUUUGUAUGGUGCCUUUCAUCACAUCAUAAGAGAAGUCUAAGUCCCAGUUAAAAGCUGCAUGUUGUGCUAGACUCUAAGUGCUGCAAGCUAAAUGCUGUGAAAGCCAGCUUUGCAUCCAGCCAGAUUAACGAAGGACAUUCUUAGGCCUCUGAAAAGAAGCAGGGAAGGUGUGCAUUGGAACAACUUUCACUCUAUCUUCUCCAGGUUUUCUGCCCUAUUCUGUCCAUGCCCAAGUUGGUUAUGAUUCGGGGGCUAUGUUUUACGUUAAAAUGUGACAUUUUACAGAGAACUCUCUCCUUUCUGUGUGCUUUAAAGCUGUACUGUAAUACAGCCCUCUGGGAGGUUUUCACAAACAGUUUGAAAAUCCCUGCAAUGGAGUUAGCGAGAUGUAACCUUGUCAUGUGGCCCAAGGUAAUAUGCUCUGGAUGGUUAAUCAAAUCCUUCAGUUAAAGCAAGGAUUGGAGUGACUGACUUCUUUGGUGUCCUUGGAGCAUAUUUGGAAAACUCAAAAGACUUAUGAGGCUGUUGAAAGGUGUUCCUCUGGGGGAGGACAGCAUGCCUUGAUGCACACUCUUGUCUAACAAGCCAACUCAGGUCCAUUUACAGCAUCAGAAGUGGACUGCAGUGUCCACUUUUGACUGUUCAGUUGUCAUCUGGUGAAAGUGGUUUGUCUUUGUGUACGUUUCAGUAUGAUGCUGUGGUAUGCAUCUUUAUUUUUUCAAAAGUCACUUUUAUUUAUUUUCAAUAAAAUUUUAUUGCUUUUGUCUUGAUUUUGUGACGUGAAACAAGCAUGAAGUGGGAGAUAAAGGCAGUGGCUGAGACAGCAAUGCUUCUUUAGCUGCCUUCCUCAUCCUGAUAGAGUUGUCUCUGAUUCUCAUUUAUAUUUGCUACACUGGAGUUACAUCUAUUCAUGCUUUAUUCCUUUGCUCUCCUUUACUUGGUUUUCUUUUUCAGGCAGUUACUCUGCUUUAUUGUUCUUGAGUGCACAAUUCCACUGCAGUUAUAUUUAUGAAAAAUUUUAGCCAAACAAACUAGCUUGGCCUGUGUUCCACAGGGAUUCAUUAAAGUCUUUGUUAUUCUUACUAUUCAUGUUAAUGCUUUGAAUUUUAAUCACUUACACAUGCAGAUAAAUAGUACGAGUUCUUUAUAGUUGUAAAGCAGGUUCUAUGAAUUCUGUAAAAUCACUUCUGUUUCAUCUAAUAUUUGCUUUAUAAGGUUUUCAGAAGGAUUCAAUUCUGAGGAGUUUGCUGGGUUAAAAUCCACACUGACAUCCCUGGUGAUUUUUAUCCAUACUAGAUUUAACUUUUUAUGGUGUUUUGUACAUAACUUUUUGUAUGUUAAAAGCCAUAAGCUUUUGCCAUAUGCACAUACCAGGCCCAUGUUUCGUGUCCCCGCACUCUUAGACAGUGAAUGUCACUUGUGACCCUUUUUUGAAUUUUAAACACACAGGAACACACUCGAAGAGCUUGAGCAUGGCUAGAGCAGACAGAACACCUACUGAGGCAGAGCCCAUGACACAAAUAAUAACUUAACAAUUGAGACCUAGGUAGGAUCUUAGUGCAGGAUCAGCGAGAUGAUGGCAAUGGAGGUCACAGAGUGGUGUGGAUGUACCAGAGUGGGAGGAGCACUGCUCUCCCCAAGGAGCCUUGGGAAACAUCACCAUUAGCAGUGGCUAGUUCAGAGGCAGAUGUGUUCUUUGGAACUUUCUGAAAGGCAGCUCCUUCCACAGAUAGUCCUCUGUGGACUGCCAUGGUAAUUGGUGAAGUGCAGUUAAUUCCAGUUCCGUAAUGAUGCUUCCUACACCCACAGCAGUGCAGGAUGAGCUGCAGUAUUUUUAUGUGGGGAAAGAAGGUUUCUGGACACCUAAGACAGUGCUAAGAAACCAUACAAUUAUUUCUUAAUAUCACAAGCAAUUUGGUUGUUAAGUAAAUGAUUCUGUAUAGAGAAGAAACCACAAAACAUGUAGUUCUUGAGAGCUGCUGCUUCAAAUGCCUCUAUAGCUGUGGAUUAGGAAGGAGCUCUAACAGACAUAAAAGGUAAAAUCCCAUAUUGGCAAUUUAAAUAAGAGUAAUUUUUCAUUUUCUCUUUUGGUUUUCCUCUCAGAGAGAACAUUUUUACCCCUGACAAAGAUUUUGAAGUGUUUAAUGAUGCUCGUCCUGUGUGCUUUAACUUUGAUAGGCAAAACUGUGUAUAUUCUCGUCUCCCUCAGCACAGGUUUAUUUCAAAUUGUAGCUGGUAAGAUGUUCAAAUACAAAAACAGAGAUCACAGAUUUUCCUUAAAGUAAUGAAAUUUAUUUCAACUUCCAAAUUAAUUUGUGUGCACAUUUAAUCUUCUAGAAUGUUUACAAGAAAAAGAACACAUUCACUCCCUAAUGAUAUCAAAAACAAACAAAACAAGCCAUUUUCAUGUGGUCUUGCAAUCAUCACACAAACGAAGGUCUUAAAAUUUUUUGUGGUGUUGAUAUGAAAAUUUUAACUUAAUUUUUGUUUGCAAGGAAAAAAACCAGAGCAAACAAUGCUUAGUUUUCCCUGGAGGGUAGUACCCCUUUUCCUUAGGUUUACAAUGGACUGGUUGUGCUCAGAUGAACAGUUAGUACAUCAUAAUUCAUGUAACAAGGCUAACAGGAGUUCAAGCCUUCGUUGUAUUAAAACCUCUAGAGACAGGAAGGCAGCUUAUACACUUUAAUAUUCUCUGGCUUGAUGCCCUGAUUUAAAACACUCCUACAGAACCUUUUACAUUAGCUUUGGAUUGGUUGUGUUCAAAGUAAUGGAAUGCAAGUUGUGGUAGUUAACAAAGAUUUAGAAUAUAUGUAGUGUUUUCCAUCCCAAGAUCCCAGAGCAGUUCAACACAUAAUUUCCUUAUAACCUUUCUGAAAAUGCAGCUUAGAUUUUAAAUCUAUAUCAAGACAGAUUAUAACUGUUACUAGAGAGGGUUACUGGUAUUUUUAAAUCUUUCUUAAUUCUCUAUUACACAUUUGGUUUAUCUGCUUUGGAGAUGGAAUGUGAGCACCAAGCAAAAUUACAGCCCAGGUGAAUUUGGCUGGGUACUGGCAGCCACUGUAUGUGCAAUUUAAAUUAUUUAUAUACUCCUUUGGGGGACUUUAUUCACUUCUGUCAAUCAUAAAACCCCUGAACAAUGGUUAUUGUGGUUAUAUCUUUCGGAGAAAAGGUACACAGAAAUCAUUGCAUACUUCUUUCUUUUGGUGUCUCUGAUUUCCUAGAAGUGUUGGUGAUCAGUAAGAUAAGAAUUAUUUUUUCAGCUAUUGCAUAAGAAUUAAUUUUUCAUCUAUUAGAUGGUGAGGUUCAAUAUCCUCAGGUUUAUUUAUAGGAUAUCUGCAUAGACCCCGUGUACAAAAGAGGCAAAAAUACAGUUAGUGAUUCAGACUGAUGAAGGUAAGUAACAGGGCAUACCUAAUUUCAUUGCAAAUCUUGGCUAGUUAGGCCAGAUUUUUCAGUUUGACUACUGGGAGCUGCAUUCCAAGUAUUAUAUCCCUGUCUUUAGAAUUUGUAGGGGAAUGAAGUUUAUCAAAAUAUUCCCUAGUUUUAUACCUACAGUAUCCUGCAUCUCCGGGUGACAAGGCUCACACUGUGCCCUGCGUCCUUGCUGCUGACCACCCUGUGCAGGGCUGCUGGCCCAUGGCUGAGCAAUGAGCAGGCUGGAUGUGUGUCUGCUCUCAUAAACACCCAGCAGGACUGUCCUCUGCCCCAGCAGGACUGUCCCCUGCCCCAGCAGCCCUGCCUCUGCCUGCCCCUGGCUUCAGCCACACACCCUUUGCAGGGCACUUCCCGGACAGCAGGCUCCAGGUAAGCCAUAACCAUCUCUCCCAACACAUCCCUGCCUUUUUUGUGCUGUGGAAAGGAGAAGAGGAUGGAUGGAAGGUGCUAAAUCCUGACACUCAAAACUGGAGAGAGCAUCUUGGCUGUGUUUAAUGUGAAGGAGAGCAGAGCCCAGUGCUGCAGAGGGCUGCGAGGACUGACCUCACCCUCAGGGCUGCUUUCCCUGGGCUUUCAAAGUGUGCAUGUUUGUAGGGUUUGUUUGCUUUGCAGUGGCAUUAUUAAUAACUAAAAAUCUCUUUUCGUUGGACUCCAGACCCAAAGUAGUGCUGGCAGUGAUUUAAUGCUUUUUUUUUUCCUCCCUGGCAGUCCCUGCAGUUGGCUCCUGGUAUGCGGCUGUGGCAGGACGUGGAGUCCAGCAGCCUUAGUAUGGGUUCCAGCUCUCUCUCAUUUGAACUGGGAAGUAUCCUAAUUCCAGCUUGCUUUUCCUGUAAUGCAUUUCAUUAUUGUUUCCACAUUGUGAGGAAGAAAUGAUAUUCAGGCUAUUUUUUUUUGCACAGACAGAUGGCCAAUAACUGAGCCUAAUGAAGAGAAUAACUUGGAUUGUGGUGUUAGUGUCAAAGAGGGGAUUACUGCAAGUCUGUCUUGUACAAACUGAGAAUGCAACAAACAUAAAUUGUAGCCAAACUAUAUUGCCAUGUGGCUUUCUUAUUUAAUUCGUUCCCUCUUCACCAACAUUUUUGCAUUGUGCAUGUUAAUGAAAGGUAAAUCAGUGUCAUUCAUGUGUAGGCAUGUGGCCUUGUCAAAAAAUAACUUUAAAAUCUUUUUUCCUAGCUCUGCCCAUAUGUGCAUUUUAGUAUUUGUCUUCCUAGAUCUCAAAUUUUCUCCCUCUUUUUGUAUGAAGUGAUAGGAAUUUAAUACAUUUUUAAUUUAUUUUUUUAUUCGUGUUGUACAUAAAAAAUGUUUGGCAAGUGUUGCCAUGCCUAAGGAUUUCUCUGACUGACUGGUGAACUGAGAACACUUAAUUGAACUUUGCUGUCUGUCUGCUCUUGGGAGAUUAUGGUUGUGCAUGCAUCCCCAAGCCUGGCAGUUGGCCUAAUUUAGGUUUAGGACCCAUUGUAUCUGGAGGCAUUCAGGGCUGGCACCUGGCCAGGCCUAUUUUAAUUGCAGCUUCUCUCAGGCUCCUUCCUGGAGCUUUGCUUUUCUCUCUCCCCUUCCCCUGAGCUGUGUGGCUGGAGAGGGUGUAGAAGAGCAAGCUGCUGACAAAGACUCCAGUCUUGGAAGGCUUACACAGCCAAACCCCUUUGGUGCAGAGCAGCCACCCAUGGACUCAUCCCACUGGGUAAAGCCCUUGGCACUCAGUGGAUCCAUUUUUUUGGACUAUGGAUGGUAACAAGAGCGAGCUCAAAAACCAAGAAGGAAAAUGUAGUUUUCACCCCACCUGUUCUAUGAAGAGAAAUCCCUGCCCAUGAAAAAGAUUUUUGUUUGCAAAAUUAUGGCCUGCAGUCAGGCUUAGGUUCCUGAGUGGGUUGUUUAAAUCAGACUGUGCAUUUUAUGUACAAAAAUUUUCUUUGUCAGAGGUUGAAUCCUGAGCCAGAGCCUACUUACUGCUGUUUUUUGAUUUGUAGCAUGCAAAUGCUUCAGCAGACAACUAAAAUUUAGGGAAAAAAAUGCUUCUAAUGUUUUAAAAAUGUUUCUAAUGUUUUAAAGAAAAAGAAGAGCCUUGCUUACGAGUUAUUACUUCACUUUCACGUUAUCCUUCAAAACUCCCUUGCCAUCUAACUAUAAUUUUUCUUCCAUUUGCCCUUUAUAGCAAGAGGAGACAGAAACCUUCAUGUAGCUUUGCAGACAGGUUAUCUGCUUUGCUGCCACUGUGUGGGGUGAUGUGGGAGCAUUUAGUCCAGAAGGGAACUUGACCUCAUUUUUCCCCUACCUUUUUCUUCAGCUAUAAAACUUUAAUUAUUACAAAUUCAAGUGGUGCUCUCCUGGUUUUUUGUUAACACAUCUUUUUAUCCAUUUACAACUGAAAUACAAAGUCAUGAAUCCUGGAAUCUCACGUUAAAAAUAUUCAAUACCAGAAAAUGAAUUAAGUGAGUUGUAGAGGAACACAGGAAUAUGGUGAAUCCUACCUUUUUUUUACAUAUAUAUAUAUGUAAAAAAAAAAGUGUAUAUAUACAUAUAUAUAUAUAUAUAUAUAUAUACACACAUGCACACGCACUUGGCACCAUAUUUUAGAAAAACAUGCAAUAGGCUAAAUGCUCUGACAUUUCUCUCUUUCCUGGAAAAAAUUUAAUUAGCUCAAAACAAUCAAUCUAAUAUCCAAUUGAUGCUUUAUUUGCAGGAUAGGUUGCACAGCUGGAAAAAGGCCGUGAAGAGUUUUUUUUUUUUUUCCCAAAAGGAAACAACUAUUAGAGAAACUGCUCAUUUUUCACCACAUUUCUUUCCUUCCUCUCUGAUAGUAUCUGUUCUGCAGCACAGCCCAGGUGCUCACAAGCACCUCUUCCAAAUGUAAGUAUUGACUACUAUUUCCAACAAUAGUAAGUGCUCUCAGAAAAAGAUCAUGGGUUGAUGGGUAAUGAUAGGGGAUAGAAGCUAGGGAAAAGCCUAUGAUUAAGACUGCAAUCAGAUCUCCUGCCAGUGAGAAUAAAAUUCACUUACUCAUUGAAGUCAACAAGACUUUUUGCAGAAAAGUUGUUCGGGGAGAAUAAUGGGAGAAUGUAGCUCACAGCAUCUGCUGCCAUGGUACUGAAAAAGAUGGUACUGGCAGAAUGAGUAGCUCAUAUGGGUGGCUGACUUUCCUGAUCACAAAUCUGAUUUGUGGUGAUCGAAUUCAACCGCAUCUGAGGUUGCUAUUGAAAUAUCUGAGAAAGUUUAACACUGAAAAGUGCACAAACAAUGCACAUGAGCCUUAAUGUUUGCCUGAAGAAACUGCUGGGAUCGAUCCAUAAAAGAACCUUUCUUCUUGAAAGCUCUCAUACCUUCCAUGAUUUGCCAGCCUUUUGUAACCAGCUCUCUGGUAAACACAGCUUUAGGACAGUCUCACCCUCCUCUGAAUUUUUAUUCUAAGCACCCUCCACACCGUGCCUGUUCAUGACAUCAGAAUGCAGAUGAGAGUUCUGCAUUUCAGCACAGGAUGUUGCAGCUGAGUUUCCCAAGUUCAGCAAUGCUAAUGGAUGGAGCCUCUGAGCCUCACCUUGCUUGACAGUUACUGUUACACAGAGGUUUCACACAGCCCCAUGGUGUUUAAAUGAAAGAAACCUAAUAUUUCAAGGAAAUAGAAAACAAACUGAAAUAUCCUGUUCUUCUCUCUUGACUAUGCAGGUGCUCAUUUAGUUCUUUUUCAUCUUCUUCUCCUCCAUAAUAAUGCUGAAGAGCUUUACAUAUUUUUUGCAUCUUUUGGGUUUUUUUACAUCUUUUUGACGCCAUGGUUUACUUGGGCUUUUUUUUUUUGGUCGGCUAUGAGGAUUUAAUUUCAUCUUUUCCUUGGUGAAAAUUGGCAACAUUUUGUAAAUUUGUGUUCUUUCAGAAUUGUCUCAAAUACUCUCGUUCCAGUUUACUUUUCUAGUAAAAAUAUUUCUUCCCAGAUGACAUUUUUGUCAACUUACUCCUGAAUCAGCAACAAUAGUUUCCUGCCUUCUUAACCUUUUUUUCUGAAAAUAUUUAAAAAAUUUGGAUUAAUUUGUCCUUUACCAGAAAAGGCUGCUUCAGAUUCUUACCAAAAUCAAUCAGUAAAAUACUUUUAAAAAGUCCUUUCCACUUAAUUUAAAAAGAAAACUAAAAGCAAAUUUCUUAGAAGUCUGAUUGUUCUAAUUGUCAAAACGAAAAACUGAAAUAUUUUUAUUGCAACAGAGUAUCUUAUCACUGCUUUGUCUAUUCUGGCUUUACAAGGGCUUUUCAGGCAGAAAUCUUUGUACUAAUUGGGGAGCAAUUAUAUACUGUGCAGGAAAUGUCAUCUUGACCGUCUUGAGCCCUGGAAGUGGUUAUCCUGAAACAUGGGGAUUAAUACUUCCUGUGUUCCCAUAGUGUGUUUUACAACUUGUUAUAUCACAAGCUCUCAGCAGACACCUGAAAUAUCAGUACUACUCAUCUUGCAGCUGUGAGUACAAAUAUUACUUCAGAGCGCUAACAACUGAAAAAGAAGCAGAAGUUAAGGGAAUGCUACUACUCACCCCUGGUAAAAAAGAGUAUUCAUUUCUGUAUGGGUAUGAUUCUGUGAUCUCCUUUGCAUGGUUUUCAGAGGUACAGUUCUCUUACCCUUAAUUUCUCUUCACAUCAAGGCUCUGUUUUCUCUGUUUUUUUCUUAUCUUUUUUCUUCUGUAAUAAAUUUGUUCAAAGAGAUGCAAUAGCUGAAUACCUUUUCAAUGCAUUAUACAGCAUUAGUUUAUAUUUAAAAACUUGUAGGAGUUUUACAUGGUCAAUUAAAUUGCUCAUUAAUUCCAGCUGGCCACUUUAGCAUUUAUGUGGUUAGGAUAAUGAAAAGUCGAGAGGAAAUGGUGUGUCAUAAGGGAAGGAAUGACAGGGGUUUUUAAUGGUGAAAGUCAUUUAACAUCUGGUAUCACAGAGAUUAUUCACUCUCCUUACCUGUUUGUCAUUGGCCUUGGAGAAUGUUUGGGAAAUCCUUAGAAAUCCAUUAAAAAAUGCGAUUUCACUAGCAUGAGAAAAUUUUCCUUCUCCCCCAAAGCAAUUGGGGAAGUCAUCAUUUGUCAUGCACUGGAAGUCAUCUGAGGAUCAACUCCAAUAAUUGCAAAUCCAUACUGGGAGCCAGGUGGACACCCUUCAUUUUUCCUGCCAGGUACCAACAGUAAAUUGGAUUUAACUGGUCCUUUUUUAUUUGUCUGCUUUCCUAGACCCAGUGCUGAAUUGGAUGUUCAUGGCCAGAGUUCUCAAAAUUUAAACAUGGGAUUAUUCAUUUCAGACUAAGAAAUUAUGUCCUCUUUGAUCAGAACUCCAGCUUCCCAGGUCCUUUAAAGAAGACUGUCCAGAGCACACGUGUGCUAGACAGCCUUCAGCUGUCUGAAAGAGAAAAUCAGGAAAAGAUGAGCCAAAGUCUCCUUUUUUCUUUUUAAAGAGAAAUAUCUAUAGAGAAACACAGUUGUAUAAGCCAAAGGAAAAGGUUCCUAGUGUAGCUUGUAAUAACGUUUAAUGAAUUACAAAUGUUGUUUAAUGAACUGACAAGUUCAGAAAAACAAAACCAACCCCAUAUCUUCUUGUAUGAUAGAAGUGUAAGCCUUAUUAUGAACACAUACACAGAAAGACAGUGUAGUAGGGUGGCCAAAUAACAAACUGAAUUCAGGACCUAAAGCAGAAGUAGAGCCGGACACAGAAGCCCUUGAAAAAUCUUGCUGGGAUGCACUUUCCAAAAAAACACCUCAAUUUGGAGGUCCAUGCAACUUAAUGUUUGCCUUCAGAUUAAGUACUGGCCAGGAUCCCAUCAAUUUUGCUCUCAGAGCUGUACAGACAAGACAUGGGAGACUGACAACUUGGCUUUCAUUUUUCCCAGGCCUCUCUUUCAGCCUAGCAAUUGUUGCUGUUUAUGUAGCUGGGUCUGGUAUGUUAAUCCCAUUAAAGAUUUUCCUUUCCUUGACUCAUAUACAAUAUAUGGGAAACAUGCUUAUCUGAUGCAAAGAAAUUCCAAGUGUCACCUUUAUUUUAAAGUCCGUAAAAUUGCUUGUCCAAUAGGUUCAGCUAAGUAUGUCCCAUGUGGGCCCUACAGAGACAGAAAAUGUCAAGCAUUAGUAUUUAUUCAAUUAUGUACUUAUAUAUAAAAAUGUAGGUAUGUAUUUCUAUACUUACAUUUGGGGUAUUGAAUAAAAUGAAAUUUGUUCAAUACAAGAUCAGUUUCUCUUGUCUUUGGUCUUAUUGAAAGAAAGUGAUUAUUUGGUUAUAAAGUCAAUAAAACCCACUGUCUCACUCAGAUAUAAACAGGUCUUUAGUUGUGUUACCACUGGGCUUUAAAAUAGUAUUUGUCAAUUAUGAGGCAAUGACUGGUGAUUAUUUCUAUGAAUGAGUUUCAGUACUGUCUAUUCACCUCUGGACCCACACUGCACUCUCUCUUUCCUCUCUCUUUUUUACCUUAGCAUGCCAUUAAUAAAGAAUGUUAUCAACACAUUUAUCUAUUCAUACUCUUCUGGACAACAUUAAAAUGGCUCUACUUCAUUCACUUCUCUGUCUCUGCUUCACAGAGGGUAGCCUGUUUUGUGACUCUCAAUAACAUGUCCAUUUCUUUUAAAUUCUCAGGAUCUUUUUGUUAGUAUAUGGAUUCUUUUUCUACCCUGACAACACUUAUUUAUUUAGUACAGUUAAACAUGGUCCUUUCAGUGAAUGUGCCAUCUAUCUGAGUAGAUUACUCUUCAUGAUUAAAGAUCCUUUCCCAAGGAUCUCAGGUCUUCCCAUCAGCUGUGCCAAUCUAAGGGCCAAAGACUUUUCAAAAUAAGUGUUUUAAUGCAAAUUUUCCCCCCCAGGAAUUAUAUAAAUUUUUAUAUUUAAAAAAGUCCUAGAUUCAGUAAUCCUUGAGCCUUCUAUUAAUCCGUAUUAUUCAUCGAUGCAGUUUCCUUGUCAGAAACUCUAAAAUUUUGACAUAACUGAGCAAUUAAGAAAUUUUUGUUUUAGGAUAAAUGUUGGUUAAUAGUACUUCCCCCCCAGUAACUAAAACCAGUCUACAACCUGUCUACAUGCCCUUAUUAAUUAAUGCCCAAGUAUUGACAAUCAAGGUAGGAUUUGUUUUCAAGCAAGUGUUGCUUGAUUCAUCACUCUCAGACCACCUUAUUAUGACUUUCUUUACAACUGUUGAUUAGUCUUUGCCUGCUAAUAUUAAUUAGAUGCUUAAACAUCCUGUACCAUCAAGGAUUAUCAGGUUUCAUUAGUAAUGUUUUUUGAACUGGAUGCCAAGAAAGUGUUUGGUCACAAUGGAUUGUAAUAUCUAUUUUUAGAAACAUUUGAAUUUGCUGCCUCACUUACUAAAAGAAUUAAGUCUGUGUCUUAUUAAGACGCAGCUAAAGUUCAAGUUAUUAACAGAUUUCAUAUGCUUUUCCCGUGAAGGGUGAGACUGGAACAUUUGAGUUAGGACAUUUUUUCUGUAGUGUAUUUAUUUGCUUAUGGUUUCUGUAGAUGCCAGUAAAAUUAGCACAUCUAUAGCCUCAGAUAUCAGUAAGCACUGUGCCUUAUCUACUGUACGUGCUAGGAAAUUAGGACACAUUUGGCAACUAUUUAUAACACUUCAAACUCCUAAUUACUGUGAUAACUAGCAAUUAUUAAUAAGGUUAGGCAUCCUUAUAUACAGGUUGUUUAGUGAUGGAGAGGACAGGCAUGCUGUGUAGAAGGAUCUUCUUGUUUCCUGAAAUACCAGUGGACAAACUUCCAUAUAAAAAUGGCAGCUUUGCAUGUUCUGAAGCAAUCUUCGGAAAGGUAAGUCUUUGAAUGGUUAUGCCUUAUUUCAAUUUCUUCUGCAUUUGAAGCUAUGAGCCAAGUUCUAAUAGUCUUAAAAAACAUCACCAGCUGUGAACAGUUGGAUUUGUUUAUCUGGAACAACACUACCUGUAGAAAUGGGGACAGAGGCUGAAUUUUAUGGAGCAGACUCGCUGCUGUCAAAGAGUCAAGUCCUGCAGUGCUGUAUUUUUUGUGUGCCAGGUAAAUGACGAAUCUGUCAUGACCUGUGCUUCUCAUUCACUGAAGACAUGUGAUUUCCAGGAGUUGCCCAAUGGUGUGGGAUGGCAAAGUGUGGGAUUUCUGAUAAAGGAAAGGUUAUCACUGAAGAAAAUGUGCUCUAGACAUCUUCUGAGUCAAUGAAGUUGAGUCUUAAUUCAGUACUGUGCAGAAGUCAGCUGAAUACUUAAAAAACACCUAGCACAUUCAUAAAAGAGGGCAAGAAAUUCUUCCUUGAGAGAACAUACUGUGGGCUUGGGGUUUAUUGUUUUCCCCAUACGUGAAGAGGUCAAAUACCAGAGUGUGAUUGAGCCUGGAGGGCAGUGACUGAAUUAAAUGAAGUAGUGGUUACUGAAUAAAACCUUUUGAGACAAAUAAA